This 300-nucleotide unclassified non-coding RNA is filed under the name Helotiales sp. RNAcentral describes it as "partial contains internal transcribed spacer 1". Lineage: Eukaryota; Fungi; Ascomycota; Leotiomycetes; Helotiales. The record is from RNAcentral.
AAGUCGUAACAAGGUUUCCGUAGGUGGUUCGCCUACUAGAGCCUGCCGUGACUAUAAAUAAUGGCGCAGUCUGCCAGCGUUGCAGGCAACAUCUCUAACAUGCUAGAAGUUACUGUAUAGUAUCACUAGCAGCACGCUAUGUCGUGUUCACAGAUCAAAUAGAGGUGGCCCCUAGGGGUUAAGACAUGAUCGAUUAGAAGCCUGAAAUGGAUUCUCCUGAUUUUCAAAGGAACCUGCGGAAGGAUCAUUACAGAGAACUUGCCCUUCGGGGUAGAUCUCCCACCCUUUGUUUACAUUACC